AUUGAACGCUGGCGGCAGGCUUAACACAUGCAAGUCGAGCGGGGAAAGGUAGCUUGCUACCUGACCUAGCGGCGGACGGGUGAGUAAUGCUUAGGAAUCUGCCUAUUAGUGGGGGACAACAUCUCGAAAGGGAUGCUAAUACCGCAUACGUCCUACGGGAGAAAGCAGGGGACCUUCGGGCCUUGCGCUAAUAGAUGAGCCUAAGUCGGAUUAGUUAGUUGGUGGGGUAAAGGCCUACCAAGGCGACGAUCUGUAGCGGGUCUGAGAGGAUGAUCCGCCACACUGGGACUGAGACACGGCCCAGACUCCUACGGGAGGCAGCAGUGGGGAAUAUUGGACAAUGGGGGGAACCCUGAUCCAGCCAUGCCGCGUGUGUGAAGAAGGCCUUUUGGUUGUAAAGCACUUUAAGCGAGGAGGAGGCUACCGAGAUUAAUACUCUUGGAUAGUGGACGUUACUCGCAGAAUAAGCACCGGCUAACUCUGUG
Molecule: ribosomal RNA, 485 nt
Filed under: uncultured bacterium
Lineage: Bacteria
Description: partial 16S ribosomal RNA
Rfam family: Bacterial small subunit ribosomal RNA
Source: RNAcentral